ACACCCUCAAGCUCUGCUUGGUGUUGGGCGUCUGUCCCCGCCUCCGCGCGCGGACUCGCCUCAAAGCGAUUGGCGGCUGGUACCACGGCCUGGAGUGCAGCAGAAUUGCGCUCCUUGUCUCGGGGUCUGGCUCCCAGAAGCGAACUUUUUUCACUU
RNAcentral lists this unclassified non-coding RNA (156 nucleotides) under uncultured Teichospora. RNAcentral's name for it is "sequence contains ITS2". Lineage: Eukaryota; Fungi; Ascomycota; Dothideomycetes; Pleosporales; Teichosporaceae. The record is from RNAcentral.